AUCGAUCACAUCCUCCGCAGCCAACCAGGUCCAAUAUCGGCCCAUCCUUCCUAUCCUAUCGAAUCAGAACGAGUUCACAUCGAACUGAGUUUCUCUGGUAUCCAAUCCUAGAUUGCUUCGUUUAUAGUUUCUUGUCUCCUUGCCCACAAAAAUCUACCCUUAUUUAACCCCUCUCCUCUGCGCGUGAUUCCUACAUAAAUCCUAUCAAAAUUUCCAUCAAAUCAAUUACACGGGCUCGCCGGAGUUUGCUCGUCACCGAAGUUCAAAAUCUAGAUUUUUUCGGCAACAGGGUUCCCGGAUCGACGGAUCAGGACGCCGAACUGCACACCGGGAAGUGUAGUACGCCGCCGAGCUGUGCCACGACCUCCUGGGAAUCCACGCCCAGCGACAUGAGCAGGACUAGCACCCCAGCAGUGUGGCCUGGUUCGUGCAUGCUUCAGCAGGGAUGAAGCACUAGGUGAUCCACAUCUCGUCCAAUAGGCCCACGCCUAGAUCCUCCGGCUCCAGUCCAAGGCCCCGUACAUCACCAAGGAGCCAAGGUAGCUUAUCCUUGAAGUCAAAAGCACCCUCGAUCGGGAGGAGAUUCAGACCAACCGCCAUGGUGGUGGUUGUUUGUAAGAGGCCAGUGCAUCACAUGGAAAUUUUAUCAUUCGGCCUAUGUGAUAAAAUGCACUUACAGAUCCAUGGCUGAAGUUACAUGGAAGCAGUAGAUCAUCGGAAGAUAUCACCAUAUAUUUUAGCAAGAAUUUUAUGUAGGUAAUGUUGUGGUACCUUGAGAUCAUCAGAUAGCUAGAGUAGAUUCAUCACUUCAAUGAGUACUCUAUGGGAUCUUCAUUCCUCAACACGAAACUAUGACCUGCAGACGGUGAUGCGACCUGAUAUGGUAAUCACUUCUCCUCGCGUGUGUUGGUGAGAUUGAUUUACUAUCUUCUUUAUUUCGUUUGAUUCUGAACGCUACCAUCUUGGAGCAAUUCAAAUCCAAAAAGUUCUUUCACAA
This is a long non-coding RNA of Lolium perenne, 997 nucleotides long. RefSeq lists it as uncharacterized. Lineage: Eukaryota; Viridiplantae; Streptophyta; Magnoliopsida; Poales; Poaceae. The record is from RefSeq and is a predicted model, not a curated record.